UGUGGGUCUGUGUGGUGAGUGUGUGGGUCUCUGUGUGGUGAGUGUGUAGGUGGGUCUCUGUGUGGUGAGUGUGUGGGUCUCUGUGUGGUGAGUGUGUGGGUAUCUAUGUGGUGAGUGUGUGGGUCUCUGUGUGGUGAGUGUGUUGGUGGGUCUCUGUGUGGUGAAUGUGUGGGUGGGUCUCUGUGUGGUGAGUGUGUGGGUCUCUGUGUGGUGAGUUUGUGGGUUUCUGUGUUGGAAGUCUGUGGGUCUCUGUGUGAUGAGUCUGUGGGUCUCUGUUUGGUGAGUGUGUGGGUCUCUGUGUGGGGAGUGUGUGGGUCUCUGUGUGGUGAGUGUGUGGGUCUCUGUGUGCUGGGUCUGUGGGUCUCUGUGUGGUGAAUCUGUGGGUCUCUGUGUGGUGAAUCUGAGUCUCUGUGUGAUGAGUGUGUGGGUCUCUGUGGUGAGUGUGUGGGUCUGUGUGGUGAGUGUGUGGGUCUCUGUGUGGUGAGUUUGUAGGUCUCUGUGUGGUGAGUGUGUGGGUCUCUGUGUGGUCAGUGUGUGGGUCUCUGUGUGUGUGGUCAGUGUGUGGGUCUGUGUGGUGAAUUUGUGCGUCUCUGUGUUGGAAGUCUGUGGGUCUCUGUGUAGGGAGUGUGUAGGUCUCUGUGUGGUGAGUUUGUAGGUCUCUGUGUGGUGAGUGUGUGGGUCUCUGUGUGAUGAGUCUGUGGGUCUCUGUGUGGUGAAUCUGAGUCUCUGUGUGGUGAGUGUGUGGCUCUAUGUGUGGUGAGUGUGUGGGUCUCUGUGUAGGUAGUGUGUGGGUCUCUGUGUAGGGAGUGUGUGGGUCUCUGUGUGAUGAGUCUGUGGGUCUCUUUGUGAUGAGUCUGUGGGUCUCUCUGUGGUGAGUGUGUGGGUCUCUGUGUGGUGAGUGUGUGGGUAUCUAUGUGGUGAGUGUGUGGGUCUCUGUGUGGUGAGUGUGUUGGUGGGUCUCUGGGUGGUGAAUGUGUGGGUGGGUCUCUGUGUGGUGAGUGUGUGGGUCUCUGUGUGGUGAGUUUGUGGGUUUCUGUGUUGGAAGUCUGUGGGUCUCUGUGUGGUGAGUUUGUAGGUCUAUGUGUGGUGAGUGUGUGGGUCUCUGUGUAGGUAGUGUGUGGGUCUCUGUGUAGGGAGUGUGUGGGUCUCUGUGUGAUGAGUCUGUGGGUCUCUUUGUGAUGAGUCUGUGGGUCUCUCUGUGGUGAGUGUGUGGGUCUGUGUGGUGAGUGUGUGGGUCUCUGUGUGGUGAGUGUGUAGGUGGGUCUCUGUGUGGUGAGUGUGUGGGUCUCUGUGUGGUGAGUGUGUGGGUAUCUAUGUGGUGAGUGUGUGGGUCUCUGUGUGGUGAGUGUGUUGGUGGGUCUCUGUGUGGUGAAUGUCUGGGUGGGUCUCUGUGUGGUGAGUGUGUGGGUCUCUGUGUGGUGAGUUUGUGGGUUUCUGUGUUGGAAGUCUGUGGGUCUCUGUGUGAUGAGUCUGUGGGUCUCUGUUUGGUGAGUGUGUGGGUCUCUGUGUGGGGAGUGUGUGGGUCUCUGUGUGGUGAGUGUGUGGGUCUCUGUGUGCUGGGUCUGUGGGUCUCUGUGUGGUGAAUCUGUGGGUCUCUGUGUGGUGAAUCUGAGUCUCUGUGUGAUGAGUGUGUGGGUCUCUGUGGUGAGUGUGUGGGUCUGUGUGGUGAGUGUGUGGGUCUCUGUGUGGUGUGUGUGGGUUUCUGUGUGGUGAGUUUGUGGGUCUCUGUGUAGGGAGUGUGUAGGUCUCUGUGUGGUGAGUUUGUAGGUCUCUGUGUGGUGAGUGUGUGGGUCUCUGUGUGGUCAGUGUGUGGGUCUCUGUGUGUGUGGUCAGUGUGUGGGUCUGUGUGGUGAAUUUGUGCGUCUCUGUGUUGGAAGUCUGUGGGUCUCUGUGUAGGGAGUGUGUAGGUCUCUGUGUGGUGAGUUUGUAGGUCUCUGUGUGGUGAGUGUGUGGGUCUCUGUGUGAUGAGUCUGUGGGUCUCUGUGUGGUGAAUCUGAGUCUCUGUGUGGUGAGUGUGUGGCUCUAUGUGUGGUGAGUGUGUGGGUCUCUGUGUAGGUAGUGUGUGGGUCUCUGUGUAGGGAGUGUGUGGGUCUCUGUGUGAUGAGUCUGUGGGUCUCUUUGUGAUGAGUCUGUGGGUCUCUCUGUGGUGAGUGUGUGGGUCUGUGUGGUGAGUGUGUGGGUCUCUGUGUGGUGAGUGUGUGGGUCUCUGUGUGGUGAGUGUGUAGGUGGGUCUCUGUGUGGUGAGUGUGUGGGUAUCUAUGUGGUGAGUGUGUGGGUCUCUGUGUGGUGAGUGUGUUGGUGGGUCUCUGGGUGGUGAAUGUGUGGGUGGGUCUCUGUGUGGUGAGUGUGUGGGUCUCUGUGUGGUGA
Molecule: long non-coding RNA, 2367 nt
Organism: Lethenteron reissneri (Far Eastern brook lamprey)
Lineage: Eukaryota; Metazoa; Chordata; Hyperoartia; Petromyzontiformes; Petromyzontidae
Source: RefSeq, a predicted model, not a curated record